Molecule: ribosomal RNA, 2902 nt
Filed under: Escherichia coli
Lineage: Bacteria; Pseudomonadati; Pseudomonadota; Gammaproteobacteria; Enterobacterales; Enterobacteriaceae
Description: bacterial LSU rRNA
Rfam family: Bacterial large subunit ribosomal RNA
Source: RNAcentral
UUAAGCGACUAAGCGUACACGGUGGAUGCCCUGGCAGUCAGAGGCGAUGAAGGACGUGCUAAUCUGCGAUAAGCGUCGGUAAGGUGAUAUGAACCGUUAUAACCGGCGAUUUCCGAAUGGGGAAACCCAGUGUGAUUCGUCACACUAUCAUUAACUGAAUCCAUAGGUUAAUGAGGCGAACCGGGGGAACUGAAACAUCUAAGUACCCCGAGGAAAAGAAAUCAACCGAGAUUCCCCCAGUAGCGGCGAGCGAACGGGGAGCAGCCCAGAGCCUGAAUCAGUGUGUGUGUUAGUGGAAGCGUCUGGAAAGGCGCGCGAUACAGGGUGACAGCCCCGUACACAAAAAUGCACAUACUGUGAGCUCGAUGAGUAGGGCGGGACACGUGGUAUCCUGUCUGAAUAUGGGGGGACCAUCCUCCAAGGCUAAAUACUCCUGACUGACCGAUAGUGAACCAGUACCGUGAGGGAAAGGCGAAAAGAACCCCGGCGAGGGGAGUGAAAAAGAACCUGAAACCGUGUACGUACAAGCAGUGGGAGCACGCUUAGGCGUGUGACUGCGUACCUUUUGUAUAAUGGGUCAGCGACUUAUAUUCUGUAGCAAGGUUAACCGAAUAGGGGAGCCGAAGGGAAACCGAGUCUUAACUGGGCGUUAAGUUGCAGGGUAUAGACCCGAAACCCGGUGAUCUAGCCAUGGGCAGGUUGAAGGUUGGGUAACACUAACUGGAGGACCGAACCGACUAAUGUUGAAAAAUUAGCGGAUGACUUGUGGCUGGGGGUGAAAGGCCAAUCAAACCGGGAGAUAGCUGGUUCUCCCCGAAAGCUAUUUAGGUAGCGCCUCGUGAAUUCAUCUCCGGGGGUAGAGCACUGUUUCGGCAAGGGGGUCAUCCCGACUUACCAACCCGAUGCAAACUGCGAAUACCGGAGAAUGUUAUCACGGGAGACACACGGCGGGUGCUAACGUCCGUCGUGAAGAGGGAAACAACCCAGACCGCCAGCUAAGGUCCCAAAGUCAUGGUUAAGUGGGAAACGAUGUGGGAAGGCCCAGACAGCCAGGAUGUUGGCUUAGAAGCAGCCAUCAUUUAAAGAAAGCGUAAUAGCUCACUGGUCGAGUCGGCCUGCGCGGAAGAUGUAACGGGGCUAAACCAUGCACCGAAGCUGCGGCAGCGACGCUGAUGCGUUGUUGGGUAGGGGAGCGUUCUGUAAGCCUGCGAAGGUGUGCUGUGAGGCAUGCUGGAGGUAUCAGAAGUGCGAAUGCUGACAUAAGUAACGAUAAAGCGGGUGAAAAGCCCGCUCGCCGGAAGACCAAGGGUUCCUGUCCAACGUUAAUCGGGGCAGGGUGAGUCGACCCCUAAGGCGAGGCCGAAAGGCGUAGUCGAUGGGAAACAGGUUAAUAUUCCUGUACUUGGUGUUACUGCGAAGGGGGGACGGAGAAGGCUAUGUUGGCCGGGCGACGGUUGUCCCGGUUUAAGCGUGUAGGCUGGUUUUCCAGGCAAAUCCGGAAAACUAAGGCUGAGGCGUGAUGACGAGGCACUACGGUGCUGAAGUAACAAAUGCCCUGCUUCCAGGAAAAGCCUCUAAGCAUCAGGUAACAUCAAAUCGUACCCCAAACCGACACAGGUGGUCAGGUAGAGAAUACCAAGGCGCUUGAGAGAACUCGGGUGAAGGAACUAGGCAAAAUGGUGCCGUAACUUCGGGAGAAGGCACGCUGAUAUGUAGGUGAAGCGACUUGCUCGUGGAGCUGAAAUCAGUCGAAGAUACCAGCUGGCUGCAACUGUUUAUUAAAAACACAGCACUGUGCAAACACGAAAGUGGACGUAUACGGUGUGACGCCUGCCCGGUGCCGGAAGGUUAAUUGAUGGGGUCAGCGCAAGCGAAGCUCUUGAUCGAAGCCCCGGUAAACGGCGGCCGUAACUAUAACGGUCCUAAGGUAGCGAAAUUCCUUGUCGGGUAAGUUCCGACCUGCACGAAUGGCGUAAUGAUGGCCAGGCUGUCUCCACCCGAGACUCAGUGAAAUUGAACUCGCUGUGAAGAUGCAGUGUACCCGCGGCAAGACGGAAAGACCCCGUGAACCUUUACUAUAGCUUGACACUGAACAUUGAGCCUUGAUGUGUAGGAUAGGUGGGAGGCUUGGAAGUGUGGACGCCAGUCUGCAUGGAGCCGACCUUGAAAUACCACCCUUUAAUGUUUGAUGUUCUAACGUUGACCCGUAAUCCGGGUUGCGGACAGUGUCUGGUGGGUAGUUUGACUGGGGCGGUCUCCUCCUAAAGAGUAACGGAGGAGCACGAAGGUUGGCUAAUCCUGGUCGGACAUCAGGAGGUUAGUGCAAUGGCAUAAGCCAGCUUGACUGCGAGCGUGACGGCGCGAGCAGGUGCGAAAGCAGGUCAUAGUGAUCCGGUGGUUCUGAAUGGAAGGGCCAUCGCUCAACGGAUAAAAGGUACUCCGGGGAUAACAGGCUGAUACCGCCCAAGAGUUCAUAUCGACGGCGGUGUUUGGCACCUCGAUGUCGGCUCAUCACAUCCUGGGGCUGAAGUAGGUCCCAAGGGUAUGGCUGUUCGCCAUUUAAAGUGGUACGCGAGCUGGGUUUAGAACGUCGUGAGACAGUUCGGUCCCUAUCUGCCGUGGGCGCUGGAGAACUGAGGGGGGCUGCUCCUAGUACGAGAGGACCGGAGUGGACGCAUCACUGGUGUUCGGGUUGUCAUGCCAAUGGCACUGCCCGGUAGCUAAAUGCGGAAGAGAUAAGUGCUGAAAGCAUCUAAGCACGAAACUUGCCCCGAGAUGAGUUCUCCCUGACUCCUUGAGAGUCCUGAAGGAACGUUGAAGACGACGACGUUGAUAGGCCGGGUGUGUAAGCGCAGCGAUGCGUUGAGCUAACCGGUACUAAUGAACCGUGAGGCUUAACCUU